AUGCGACAACAAGUUAAAGAGAUGCUAGCCAUUCUCUUUUACCUCCGGCUCCACGGGUCUUUGAUCUGCCGCCUCGUUGUCGUCAGCUCUCCCCAAAACGAGAUAUCAAGGACUAGCAGAGGUAGAGAGGCAGGGGACUGGAGACCACAGCAGCGAUUCUGCUCUUGCCCAACCUCUUCAAUGAGGACCCGAGUGGCCUUUAUGUCCGUGACAAGAUUUCACCGCUCUUCACUCCUUUACUGCACAUCAGCGGAAAUCCAUUUCACCAUGAGAGUGAAAUCCCACUGGCCUUUGAUGGGGAGAACAUCCACAACAUCGAGGACGUCUCCAUGGGACUUGGGGCUCUGCUAUGGCUGUAUUUUUUAUUUUCCCUUAAAUUUCCCAAAAAUGUCAGAAAAACACAUGUUGUUAAGUUACUGUGUUCUGGGGAAAAGAGAAGUUGGGUGACGUUACCAGGGCCGGUCAUAAAGAUGGCAAACUUCCUAACAUAACUAAGUGGAUAUGAUACACACUAAAGCUGAAAAAUCUGUAUUUAGCAUCAAGUCUACAAUAUUGUUAGUUUACCUAUGAUUCAUUUUUAAUGCAUGUUGUUUUUAUUGUACAUCAUUAUUAUUAUUUUAAAUGUCAUGAAAAGCAUUUUACAAAGUAAUGUUAUUAUUUAAUAUGGUCUGACAUGUCUGCAGAAAUGUUGCAAUUUGUAAUGUGUUUUGUUUGGUAAAUUGUAGUGUAAAUAUUAAUUCACAUUUGUGGUGCCACUAAAUAAACAAUUCAUUAUUUAAGUAAAUAUUGUCAAUAUU
RNAcentral lists this long non-coding RNA (797 nucleotides) under Oncorhynchus mykiss (rainbow trout). RNAcentral's name for it is "lncRNA (ENSOMYG00000003967.2)". Lineage: Eukaryota; Metazoa; Chordata; Actinopteri; Salmoniformes; Salmonidae. The record is from RNAcentral.